Molecule: non-coding RNA, 110 nt
Filed under: Cynara cardunculus (cardoon)
Lineage: Eukaryota; Viridiplantae; Streptophyta; Magnoliopsida; Asterales; Asteraceae
Also listed under: 1 other name
Source: miRBase by way of RNAcentral
CAACCAACUGUACCAGAUGUUGUCCGCUUUAUCCACACAUGGGCCCACAAUUUUAAAAUGUUUCUGUCCAGGUGUGGAUAAAGGGGACAAUAUCUGGUACGGUUGGCUGA